RNAcentral lists this long non-coding RNA (342 nucleotides) under Gossypium barbadense (sea-island cotton). RNAcentral's name for it is "long non-coding RNA (GBAR_LNC017088)". Lineage: Eukaryota; Viridiplantae; Streptophyta; Magnoliopsida; Malvales; Malvaceae. The record is from RNAcentral.
CCUGUGCUAAAUCUUUCCAUGAAUUAAUCUUGGCAUGACUCAAUUGAUUGUACCACUUGGACGUGGCCCUUGUGAGGCUAUCCUGGAAACAAUGUAUCAGCAACUGGUCAUUACUAACAUACUCAGUCACCCGCCUACAAAACAUAGUAAUAUGGGCUUCGGGACUACUAGUUCCAUUAUACUUCUCAAAAUCGGGCAUUUUGAAUUUAUAAGGGAGUACUAAAUCCGAAAUCAAGCUUAAUUCUUUAGCAUCAAUCCCGUAGUAGCUCUCAGCACUUUCUAUUGCUCUAAAUUUCUCUUCCAGCCAUUUAUACUUUUCUUCUAGCUGUUUUGGCAAUUCAU